This is a non-coding RNA of Paramisgurnus dabryanus, 347 nucleotides long. The record is from RefSeq and is a predicted model, not a curated record. NCBI's taxonomy places the organism in Eukaryota, Metazoa, Chordata, Actinopteri, Cypriniformes, Cobitidae.
AUUUUAUGUAAAAGCAUUUUUUAAAGUAGGCCAAGCUGUGUGUUUUAUAACUUAGAGGUGUUUUUUGUCUUGUAAUUUUUAGGAGGCUGUACGGCGUCUCUGAGGCACACUGCAGGCACUAAGAACCAGAGCAAGGACUAACGUCACCUCAUAACGAAGCCGUGACCUCCUAUUUGCUUGGGGCUAUUUCAGCAAGUCCAGAUUUAACUGCUGAGAAUGACGACAUUGUUUCUGAUUGUAAGACCUAUUAUGCAGUGGCGAACCGUGGGUACUUCAGCUGGGCCUUCAAAAUAUGCAAUGAAGUGCAAAUGCCUCUCCAUCCAUAAUACUAGGCUAUUCGUAUUUCG